GACGAACGCUGGCGGCGUGCCUAAUACAUGCAAGUAGAACGCACAGUUUAUACCGUAGCUUGCUACACCGUAGACUGUGAGUUGCGAACGGGUGAGUAACGCGUAGGUAACCUGCCUGGUAGCGGGGGAUAACUAUUGGAAACGAUAGCUAAUACCGCAUAAUAUUAAUUAUUGCAUGAUAAUUAAUUGAAAGGUGCAAUUGCACCACUACCAGAUGGACCUGCGUUGUAUUAGCUAGUAGGUGAGGUAACGGCUCACCUAGGCGACGAUACAUAGCCGACCUGAGAGGGUGAUCGGCCACACUGGGACUGAGACACGGCCCAGACUCCUACGGGAGGAAGCAGUAGGGAAGCUUCGGCAAUGGACGAAAGUCUGACCGAGCAACGCCGCGUGAGGGAAGAAGGUUGUCGGAUCGUAAAGCUCUGUUGUAAGAGAAGAACGGGUGUGAGAGUGGAAAGUUCACACUGUGACGGUACCUUACCAGAAAGGGACGGCUAACUACGUG
Molecule: ribosomal RNA, 505 nt
Filed under: uncultured bacterium
Lineage: Bacteria
Description: partial 16S ribosomal RNA
Rfam family: Bacterial small subunit ribosomal RNA
Source: RNAcentral